Molecule: long non-coding RNA, 236 nt
Organism: Eucalyptus grandis
Lineage: Eukaryota; Viridiplantae; Streptophyta; Magnoliopsida; Myrtales; Myrtaceae
Exons: 3
Source: RefSeq, a predicted model, not a curated record
GCUCACCCCUACUCGCCACCGUCCCCUCCGAUUCUCCCACCAUGGACUUGGUUUUGAUGCACCUGAUGCUUCUUCCAUUGAGGAAAAGAAUGCUUUAGCCUUGGCAAUAGUUCCCUCAGAACCUGGUGCUGCUUCUUCAGCAUUUGGUUCGGUGCUACUCAAUCUAAAGACUUCAAUCCCACUGGAUGGGAGCUUGCUCGGUCUCUACCCCAAGUACUAACAUCUCUGCGGCUAAU